GGUUAAUGUAGGAAUUUUUAAAAUCUGUACUACAACACAAUGUUUAUCCACAAAUCAUUGAAUUAAGAAACAAUAGAAUCACACAAAAACAAGAUGAAAGUGGUGAAAAGUUCAAUAAGUGUUUAUAAAAAUGUUUAUUGUCCUGCAAGCUAUGUACAUAUCAGCAUGCAUGCAUAAAAAAUAAUAUAUAUUAAAAUUAUAUCAGAUUAUUUUUGACUGAUUUUUUUUACUAGCUACUUUUCACAUGUGUUUGUUUUUUGGAUUCCUAGAUUUAAUAACUAUUAAAGGAUGAAUGAAUCAGUGUGAGAGGGUAGUAUAUGUACAUGUAUGUAUGUGACAAAAACUGAAUAAUAAAUAUUAAAAAAAUAAUGAUAUAUAUUUAUUCAUGUAAUUAUGCAACUAUAAGAACCAUUAUGGGGGUGGGGGUGUGUGUUAAAGGUUGAUGUAUAUCAUUAAUUUCUUUAAAUUUAAGCUGAAUGGAUUAUAAAAUUAAGAUGGUUUAACAUGACACAAAAUCUGGUAAUUUAUUUGCAUGCACACAGGUACUAAAGUGUAUUAGUGUGACAUACAUGUAUAUACCAAUUACCAAAGCUUGAUAAUGAAUACGACGCCCAUUUCAUUACAGAUUUGGAAAAUAAUUAUAGUCAAAUCACCCCUACUGCAAGCCAAUUAUCAGACUAUCAAUCUCAGCUGAGUCCAAGAUAGGAAGAGGUUUUGGAGAGAACACAGAAUUACUACAGACAAAAGACUUGUGAAGUUAUAAGGGGAAUUGCAGAACUCAUAGCUCCACUUCAAUCUAGAUCUGUUGACAGUUAUUUCACAGAAACACUUUGCAGCUGACAAAGAUAAUCAAAUGAUGACCACUACUUUAACUCUAUGGUUGCAGCAUAUUUCAAUUUUUGAAGUGACAAAUUUUAUUCCUGUUUGUGAACCAAUAUUCAAAAGAAACACUGCUAUGGCAUUAGACAUAAAUUAGAAGAGAGUGGUGGGGUGACAAAAUACAGAUUCCAUACUGUGAAAUGUAUCAAUUGUUAAUAUACAUGUAUCAAUAUAAAUUCAGUGCCAAUUUUCAUAAUUUCUAGGGGAAAAGUUUGUUUGUAACAAAUGUCAGAAAUAUGCACUAGCUCUUUCUUUGCAAACCAUGCUACUAAGUACCAGGCAUUAAGACAUGAUUUGUUUAUUGUCAUUUGUUAAACAGAGACAGAUCCAGUGAUUUGAAAGGGGGGGGGUCCCAGAAAAAUGAUCUGAAAUCUGCAUUAGGUCAUAUCCGAUGAAUUGAUAAAGUAAAUAUGUUUAUUAUUGAUUGCUAGUUACAUGUAACCUUUUAUGCAUCAGUUAAAGAUACUUUAUGAACAUUUUCCGUCACUGGGUAAAAUUCAACAAACAUUUUGUGUAUCUGGAAGUGGUCAAUAUAUAUUUCAACAUCAGAGUAAACAUGCAUUAAAGCAAGUCUGCCAAUCUGAUGUAGGCAGAAAAUGGAAUAUGGCAUGUUAUUUCAUGAAUGCAAAGGGAAAUGCUUUACAAGAGAGUCAAAAAUUUUCUGGUUAAUGCUAAAUAAGUAUCUAGAUGUCCCAGAGAAAAGGAGAGGGUGUGUUCUACCCCCCCCCCCCCUCCCCCCCCCCUCGGGAUCUGCCAAUGUCAAGUUUGUAAUGUGAGUGAAUGAAUUAAGAUUCUUCAUGAUAGGCAAUUGAUUAAAAUUUGAUUUACUGAUAAUUUUAACUUCAUAUAUGUGUGUUAAUUAAUUGACUAUUAUCUCAAAUCCUGUGUCAGAAAUGACCUCUAAAAAUCAACAUUGUAAAAUUUUAUAUAAUGAAUUACAUAGGCAUUUUUUUGCCUUUAUUAUAUAGAAUGUAUACAAAGACAUGAAAUUUAUUUCUGAAUGUUCAUAUGUUCUAGUAAUUUUUCAUGAAUUUUAAUCAUUUAAUCAUUGAUUGGUUAUAUCUACUUCAUAUUUAUUUCUAUUUAUAUAGUUCAACAAUCUUCAUUUAAGUAGUUGACCUUUUUGCACUUAUUGAAAAUUUUGAGAUUUCAGUUCAACUUUUCACCAUCAAACCUUGCUUUUCCCACUGAAUUUAUUUUUGUAACUUGAAAUACACCUCUUCAAGUUUCUGGUUAUACAUAAUUUAUUUCUUUUGAGACAUUGUAUUGGGUUUUAUGAGAUCUUAAAUUUUGAUCAUUAUUUUGUAAAAUAUAUUGGUGUGAAAUAUGUGCAAUUUUAACAAUUAAUAAAUUCAUUCAUUGGAUGAAUAUACACACAAAAA
Long non-coding RNA from Ostrea edulis (European flat oyster), 2261 nucleotides. RefSeq lists it as uncharacterized. The transcript is spliced from 2 exons. Lineage: Eukaryota; Metazoa; Mollusca; Bivalvia; Ostreida; Ostreidae. The record is from RefSeq and is a predicted model, not a curated record.